RNAcentral lists this long non-coding RNA (1308 nucleotides) under Capra hircus (goat). RNAcentral's name for it is "lncRNA (ENSCHIG00000007243.1)". The record is from RNAcentral. Lineage: Eukaryota; Metazoa; Chordata; Mammalia; Artiodactyla; Bovidae.
UGCAUUUCUAUUACCCUGGAUAGUCUAGAUGGCACUUUUUAGAUCUCACGUUUUGUUUGGCUUCAUCUGGGCCAGUUAGUUUUGUUCUCACCCCUACUUACAAACUGUCAAAACACGCCAUCCAUUUCAUAACUGUGUUCUAUAUAAAAAAAGAACAACUAGACCAUUUUCAUCUCAGUUGCUGGGGAAGAAUUCCAGUGGAAUGGACCUAACAACACAAGGGAACUGGAAGGGAAGCUUCAGGCAGGCUGACUCAGAUACCCAGGCUCCUUUCUGCAGUAUCUCUGGAGACCAGCAGACGGACAGCAGUCGGAAGGCAUGUUGCAGCUCACAUUGUAACUCGCUGGAAGAGGGUGAUGGCAAAGCAAAUGGAAGUCAAAGGGCACAGAACUCAAAUCUGCAGCUUCCUGGAAAAUAAAUUACUUCUAGCCUAGAAGGGUGAAGUUGUAUGAUCAGUCUUGAAUCCUGGUACAUGGUGAUUGAAGACCUAGAUGGAAUGUGCUGGACACAGCCACCACCUAUGAUGCCUUUUGGCAUAAAUGUUAACCACUCUUUUACAGUUGAGCUAAAGUCCCACUUAUUCUACAAAGAAGUUCCUGAUUGUCCUUAGUGAAGGGGGAUCCUUGGAGCUCCAAGGAUCCUAUAGCAGAGUUUAUCCUCUGGCCUCUACACAAAGCACAUCUCUGAUAAGUUAUUGGUUACGGCAUCUUUUCCACUAACAAAUGUAGACAUGAGAGAGAUUCUAAGUUUACAGAUCAUCGCAGUAAAGUGAGUCCUACAGGUUGUUCUGGUUUCCCAGGGCACAGAAAAGUCAUGUUUACACCAUACUGUAAUCUAUUAAGCAUGCAAUAGCAUUAGGUCUUAAAAAAUAAUGCAUAUACGUUAAUUAAAAACACUUGAUUGCUAAAAAAAUGCUAAGUGUCAUCUGAGACUUCAGUUAGUUGAAAUCUUUUUGGCAAUAGAAGCAUUGAAAAUCACUGAUCACAGAUCACCAUAAUGUAUUAAUAAUAAUGAAAAAGUUUGAAUUUUGUGAGAAUUACUAAAAUGUGACACAGAUACAUAAAGUGAGCAAAUGUUGUUAUAAAAAUAGUGCCAGUAGACUUGUUUGAUGCAGGGUUGGUCACAAACCUUCAGUAUGUAAAAAACCUAAUAUCUGUGAAGUCAAUAAAACAAGAUAUGCUUGUGUGCAUUUAGAAUCCAAUGAAAUUUUCAUCUUCGCAAAGGUAGGGGAGGGACCCUAUAAAUUUAGUACCUGUAACAGGCCCAGUGGCAAUCCUAGAUACAACAAAGAUUAAUGCCUAUUUGCUG